RNAcentral lists this unclassified non-coding RNA (309 nucleotides) under plant metagenome. RNAcentral describes it as "partial contains 5.8S ribosomal RNA, internal transcribed spacer 2, and large subunit ribosomal RNA". The stretch from base 1 to 105 matches the Rfam family "5.8S ribosomal RNA", at positions 50 to 154 of the family's 154-position model. The record is from RNAcentral.
GAAAUGCGAUCAGUAGUGUGAAUUGCAGAAUUCAGUGAAUCAUCGAAUCUUUGAACGCACAUUGCGCCCCUUGGUAUUCCAUGGGGCAUGCCUGUUCGAGCGUCAUUUGUACCCUCAAGCUCUGCUUGGUGUUGGGUGUUUGUCCCGUCUCCGCGCGUGGACUCGCCCCAAAGUGAUUGGCAGCCGGCGUACUGGUCCCGGAGCGCAGCACAUGUCGCGCAAACGAGUGCCUUGGUACGGCGGCGUCCAUAAGCCCCUCUCUCACGCUCUUGACCUCGGAUCAGGUAGGGAUACCCGCUGAACUUAAGC